Molecule: long non-coding RNA, 399 nt
Organism: Nyctereutes procyonoides (raccoon dog)
Lineage: Eukaryota; Metazoa; Chordata; Mammalia; Carnivora; Canidae
Exons: 3
Source: RefSeq, a predicted model, not a curated record
GGCCCGCCCCGGCCCGAGCGAGGCGCCGCGGGAGGAAUUCCAGCCAUUUCCUCUGAGCCGCGCGGUAUCACUACUGUCUUCAGUUUUCCCCGAUCUUCCCACCCUCCUUGCCGGUGGCCUCCUUUCCAGUCUCACAUUCCGGUGCAGUCAGGGCCGGCUUUACAGUGAGGAAGAUGUUCCUGCAACACACACUGGCCCCUCACAGACCUGAGUGAUUGCAGCCUCAUUGAACUGGAUGGCUUUUCUGAGUGGCCCAGGCAAUCAACUCAAGACCCCAGUGUACAGAGGAACAAACUGCCUGUAUGCAGAAUUCUAAAUGGACUGGAUAUAUGCAAAUCACCAAGGUCAGGGGCAGCCCUAGACCAGCCCUUCCUAUGUGAUUUCAGACAUGGAGACCCA